This 820-nucleotide ribosomal RNA is filed under the name uncultured bacterium. Its description in RNAcentral is "bacterial SSU rRNA". It matches the Rfam family "Bacterial small subunit ribosomal RNA", at positions 36 to 854 of the family's 1533-position model. The record is from RNAcentral.
CGUGCGGCUGCUUACCAUGCAGUCGAACGGCAGCAUGUCUUAUCUUCGGAUUUGAUGAUGGCGAGUGGCGGACGGGUGAGUAACACGUAGGUAUCUACCUGAAAGUGGGGGACAACCCGGGGAAACUCGGGCUAAUACCGCAUAUUCUCUACGGAGGAAAGCUGGGGACCGUAAGGCCUGGCGCUUUCAGAUGAGCCUGCGGCAGAUUAGCUAGUUGGUAGGGUAAAGGCCUACCAAGGCGACGAUCUGUAGCUGGUCUGAGAGGAUGAUCAGCCACACUGGGACUGAGACACGGCCCACACUCCUACGGGAGGCAGCAGUGGGGAAUUUUGGACAAUGGGCGAAAGCCUGAUCCAGCAAUACCGCGUGUGUGAUGAAGGCCUUCGGGUCGUAAAGCACUUUCAGUUGUGAAGAAAUGCACAUGGUUAAUAGCCAUGUGAGCUGACGUUAACAACAAAAGAAGCACCGGCUAACUCUGUGCCAGCAGCCGCGGUAAUACAGAGGGUGCAAGCGUUAAUCGGAAUUACUGGGCGUAAAGCGCGCGUAGGUGGGUAGUUAAGUUAUGUGUGAAAGCCCCGGGCUCAACCUGGGAAUUGCACGUAAGACUGGCUAUCUAGAGUAUAGUAGAGGGAAGUAGAAUUUCCGGUGUAGCGGUGAAAUGCAUAGAUAUCGGAAGGAAUACCAGUGGCGAAAGCGACUUCCUGGGCUAUUACUGACACUGAGGCGCGAAAGCGUGGGGAGCAACAGGAUUAGAUACCCUGGUAGUCCACGCCGUACACGAUGAGACUACGAGUACGGAUUUAUCUUUGUGCCGAAGCUU